AUACGUAGGGUGCGAGCGUUGUCCGGAAUUACUGGGCGUAAAGAGCUCGUAGGUGGUUUGUCGCGUCGUCUGUGAAAUUCCGGGGCUUAACUCCGGGCGUGCAGGCGAUACGGGCAUAACUUGAGUACUGUAGGGGAGACUGGACUUCCUGGUGUAGCGGUGAAAUGCGCAGAUACCAGGAGGAACACCGGGGGCGAAGACGGGUCUCUGGGCAGUAACUAACGCGGAGGAGCGAAAGCAUGGGUAGCGAACAGGAUUAGAUACCCUGGUAGUCCAUGCCGUAAACGGUGGGCGCUAGGUGUAGGGGUCUUCCACGACUUCUGUGCCGUAGCUAACGCAUUAAGCGCCCCGCCUGGGGAGUACGGCCGCAAGGCUAAAACUCAAAGGAAUUGACGGGG
Molecule: ribosomal RNA, 398 nt
Filed under: uncultured bacterium
Lineage: Bacteria
Description: partial 16S ribosomal RNA
Rfam family: Bacterial small subunit ribosomal RNA
Source: RNAcentral